GGAAUAUUGGUCAAUGGACGGAAGUCUGAACCAGCCAAGUCGCGUGAGGGAAGAAGGUCCUUCGGAUUGUAAACCUCUUUUGCCGGGGAGUAACCGGGCGGACUUGUCCGCCCCUGAGAGUACCCGGAGAAAAAGCAUCGGCUAACUCCGUGCCAGCAGCCGCGGUAAUACGGAGGAUGCGAGCGUUAUCCGGAUUUAUUGGGUUUAAAGGGUGCGCAGGCGGCGUCACAAGUCAGCGGUCAAACUGCGGGGCUCAACCCCGUACCGCCGUUGAAACUGCGGCGCGGGAGUGUGGGCGACGGAGCCGGAAUGCGUGGUGUAGCGGUGAAAUGCAUAGAUAUCACGCAGAACUCCGAUUGCGAAGGCAGGUUCCGAGUCCGCCACUGACGCUCAUGCACGAAAGCGUGGGUAUCGAACA
This 418-nucleotide ribosomal RNA is filed under the name uncultured bacterium. RNAcentral describes it as "bacterial SSU rRNA". It matches the Rfam family "Bacterial small subunit ribosomal RNA", at positions 358 to 774 of the family's 1533-position model. The record is from RNAcentral.